This is a non-coding RNA of Camelina sativa (false flax), 123 nucleotides long. Lineage: Eukaryota; Viridiplantae; Streptophyta; Magnoliopsida; Brassicales; Brassicaceae. The record is from RefSeq and is a predicted model, not a curated record.
CAGAGGAAGAAAAACAAGUUCUUGCCGAAGAUUCAUGCCUGGGUUCAAGAACACGGUGGUGAUACUAUGAUUCCUUUCAGUGGCGUUUUUGAAAGGACUCUUGCUGAUAUGCCCCCAGAUGAA